Molecule: ribosomal RNA, 465 nt
Filed under: uncultured bacterium
Lineage: Bacteria
Description: partial 16S ribosomal RNA
Rfam family: Bacterial small subunit ribosomal RNA
Source: RNAcentral
CCUACGGGAGGCAGCAGUAGGGAAUCUUCCACAAUGGACGAAAGUCUGAUGGAGCAACGCCGCGUGAGUGAAGAAGGGUUUCGGCUCGUAAAGCGCUGUUGGUAGUGAAGAAAGAUAGAGGUAGUAACUGGCCUUUAUUUGACGGUAAUUACUUAGAAAGUCACGGCUAACUACGUGCCAGCAGCCGCGGUAAUACGUAGGUGGCAAGCGUUUUCCGGAGUUAUUGGGCGUAAAGCGAGUGCAGGCGGGUCAAUAAGUCUGAUGUGAAAGCUUUCGGCUCAACCGGAGAAUUGCAUCAGAAACUGUUGAACUUGAGUGCAGAAGGGGAGAGUGGAAGUCCAUGUGUAGGGGUGGAAUGCGUAGAUAUAUGGAAAAACACCAGUGGCGAAGGCGGGUCUCUGGUCUGCAACUGACGCUGAGGCUCGAAAGCAUGGGUAGCGAACAGGAUUAGAUACCCCUGUAGUC